This is a long non-coding RNA of Alosa alosa (allis shad), 1512 nucleotides long. RefSeq lists it as uncharacterized. The transcript has 3 exons. NCBI's taxonomy places the organism in Eukaryota, Metazoa, Chordata, Actinopteri, Clupeiformes, Clupeidae. The record is from RefSeq and is a predicted model, not a curated record.
UAUACAGUCUAUGCUUUUACCAAUUUCCCUCGCCUCAACCAGAGCUUCUAAAGCCAACUUUAAGCUAGCUAGCAAGUAGCCUAGCCAAGUUGACUUUAGAGACAGCUUUUCUGCACAAAUGUAGGAGUAGAUUUUUACUCUCAGAGGUGAGUAAUUGCAAGUUACAUUUACAGCAUUUCGUUUUCCGAAAGUAAAUUGCUCUCGUGGAACGUUUAGGCUGUUUGAAGGUAGCCAUGUUGCUGAAAUAAGGCUACCUAGCCUGCUUAACUUCAGGAGGUCAGUUUUGUAUUGCUACAGUUUGAAACAAUUAACAUGCGCUGUUUCAUAUUAGGCUACCUUUUUUUUUACUUAACAUUUCAUGGACAGUCUAUUAUUGUAUCCGCCCCCCCGGUUUUAAAAAUGUUGUAAGACCUAUCAUGUACACUAGUUUCUAUCUUUCAGAUCCAGGUGAUGCAUUUUACAGAAUCACAAUGGUGAAUCAAGUUAAUGGCCAAGCUAGCUGCUACACCAAAGCUUCUGAAUCUCUUCCAAGCCAAGGGUGGAACCAUAGGGUUGAGGUUGCAGGCCAUCCUACUCAAGGCUCCAACCAAUCCUAACGCUAACUUGACCAGAGAUGUUGUCAUCGGUGUUUCGGGGAUCUUUAGAUUAUCUUCUAAAAAAGUAUGAUGAUGCUGAUGAAGAUAGUGUGCCACAGGACCUUGCUGUACAAAAAAUGGAAAUAAACAGCAUCGAGACCAAUACAUCAGAGGGUCCCGAAGACGUUGGUAUCGUGGUAGAGGGAAUGAAAAUUCUGACUGCUCUGGAUAACUUUCCAAGGGCUUGCUCCAUACUCCUUGGGUGGACAUAUUCAGUGAAUCCAGCCUAUACCAAGGAGCCCAGAUAUGCGUUUGAAAUCCCCCAGAAACUCAUCUUUGAGCUGGACUGUUCAAAGCCAAAAGGUGAACAUUCUCAAGAACAAACUGCUAGCUUAGGAAAAUGGACCCUUGCAAAAUGAAAAGGAAUUGUUAAGUCUCUGUCAGAUGUCACAUGGUUACCUUCAAAUGCUUGAGUUGCUCAACCAUACUCAUUUUAAGAGAAGUGACUUUUUUUACUUAUAAUUGGAAAAAUUAUCUUGUGAUUCUACUGUUUACAACAAGGAUGCAAAUUGGACAUGAUUUAGUCAAAGAAUUUCAGUUACACAAAUGAGUAAUGUGAUCGUUCCAGUAGAAAUUAAUCCAAUUCUAUAUGCUGUGUCUCUUACAAGUCCAAAUGCAUUUUGCAUUUAAAAAAUGUUGGGUAAACCUGGGAGACAAAAUUGCACAAAUAAAUGAAAUGAUACAUGUUUACCUCUUAUUAUUUUUAUGCAUGGUGAUCUGUUGACAUAACUUAAGUAAAUUUUGGUAUUAUAAGAAGGUAUGAUAUUUAGUGAUUUAGAAGGCAUUAGACAAGGCACUGAAAUAUGAUUUAUAUAAUUAAUUUUAUUUAAUGAAUGCAAAUAACCUUCAUCCAGACAUUUAGUAAUCUUAUAACAAA